RNAcentral lists this ribosomal RNA (216 nucleotides) under Macrouridae sp. RNAcentral describes it as "partial small subunit ribosomal RNA". The record is from RNAcentral. Lineage: Eukaryota; Metazoa; Chordata; Actinopteri; Gadiformes; Macrouridae.
GUCGGUAAAACUCGUGCCAGCCACCGCGGUUAAACGGGAGACCCAAGUUGAUAGACAGCGGCGUAAAGCGUGGUUAAGACAUUAAUUUAAUAGGGUCGAAUAGCCUCUAAGCAGUCAAAUACUAUCGAGACCACAAAAUACACCUACGAAAGUAACCCUAAUACUUCUGACCCCACGAAAGCCAUAACACAAACUGGGAUUAGAUACCCCACUAUG